UGAGGGAAUAUUUGGGGACAAUGGAGGCAACUCUGAUCCAGCCAUGCCGCGUGAGGGACUAAGGCCCUAUGGGCUGUAAACUUCUUUAGACGCAGAGCAAUAAGGGCCACGCGUGGUCCGAUGAGAGUAUGCGUAGAAUAAGCAUCGGCUAACUCCGUGCCAGCAGCCGCGGUAAUACGGGGGAUGCGAGCGUUAUCCGGAUUCAUUGGGUUUAAAGGGUGCGUAGGCGGCUUUGCAAGUCAGCGGUGAAAGGCCGGGCUCAACCCGGAAAGUGCCGUUGAUACUGUGAGGCUGGAAUGCGGAUGCUGUGGGAGGAAUGAGUGGUGUAGCGGUGAAAUGCAUAGAUAUCACUCAGAACACCGAUUGCGAA
Molecule: ribosomal RNA, 370 nt
Filed under: uncultured bacterium
Lineage: Bacteria
Description: bacterial SSU rRNA
Rfam family: Bacterial small subunit ribosomal RNA
Source: RNAcentral